CUCGGAGACCACGUGUGCAUGGAUAAUGAGGUUAACGUGCACUCAUCGAGUAAGGUAUUUACACAUCGGACCGACUCGGAUUCAACGUGACCAAGUGUGCCCUUACAAGUCCCAGCCUUUUCCUUCUUUCUAUCUACGAACAUGGAUUCUAUUCAACGUAUCCUUGGUUACCAGUAAUUUUCACUUGCUAUACUUAGACAACAAUUUUAUAAUUGUUCAAUUUACAAUUGCUAACAUUAUCGUUGUAUCAUUAAUUAUACAUUAAUGGAAAAGAGAAGGAAUGAAAAUCCUAUUCUAGUUCGAAGAACAAAGAAAUACAAGCUCUCGAUCGCACGAAGAAUUACAAGGACCAGACUGCGAGCAGAGUCGACAUACAUUCAUCACAAUUGACACGAUUGACCUACAGCGGUUCUCAACCAUGGAGUCUCGUGAAAACCGGUUUGACAGGGUUCAAGAAUAUAAAUGAUAUCGGUGCUCUACUCGCUUCUUCUCGUGAAAGUACA
This is a long non-coding RNA of Apis laboriosa (Himalayan honeybee), 503 nucleotides long. RefSeq lists it as uncharacterized. The transcript is spliced from 3 exons. The record is from RefSeq and is a predicted model, not a curated record. NCBI's taxonomy places the organism in Eukaryota, Metazoa, Arthropoda, Insecta, Hymenoptera, Apidae.